This 515-nucleotide ribosomal RNA is filed under the name uncultured bacterium. RNAcentral describes it as "partial 16S ribosomal RNA". It matches the Rfam family "Bacterial small subunit ribosomal RNA", at positions 355 to 889 of the family's 1533-position model. The record is from RNAcentral.
UGGGGAAUCUUGCGCAAUGGGCGAAAGCCUGACGCAGCCAUGCCGCGUGAGUGAUGAAGGCCUUAGGGUUGUAAACUCUUUCACCGGGGACGAUAAUGACGGUACCCGGAGAAGAAGCCCCGGCUAACUUCGUGCCAGCAGCCGCGGUAAUACGAAGGGGGCUAGCGUUGCUCGGAAUUACUGGGCGUAAAGGGCGCGUAGGCGGAUCAGCAAGUUGGGGGUGAAAGCCCGGGGCUCAACCUCGGAAUUGCCUUCAAAACUGCUGAUCUAGAGUACGGGAGAGGUGUGUGGAACUCCGAGUGUAGAGGUGAAAUUCGUAGAUAUUCGGAAGAACACCAGUGGCGAAGGCGACACACUGGCCCGUUACUGACGCUGAGGCGCGAAAGCGUGGGGAGCAAACAGGAUUAGAUACCCUGGUAGUCCACGCUGUAAACGAUGAUUGCUAGUUGUCGGCAGGCAUGCCUGUCGGUGACGCAGCUAACGCAUUAAGCAAUCCGCCUGGGGAGUACGGUCGC